GUCUAAAACGACCAAGCUAUAACUGCUUGUCUAUUAUCCAAGAGGUAAACUUUGCGCAUGCAUGAAUGCAACGUGCACAUUUUAUGGAGGGGUCAAGGAUGACCCUUGG
Molecule: unclassified non-coding RNA, 109 nt
Filed under: Pseudodiaptomus poplesia
Lineage: Eukaryota; Metazoa; Arthropoda; Copepoda; Calanoida; Pseudodiaptomidae
Description: trans-spliced leader
Source: RNAcentral